This 468-nucleotide ribosomal RNA is filed under the name uncultured bacterium. Its description in RNAcentral is "partial 16S ribosomal RNA". It matches the Rfam family "Bacterial small subunit ribosomal RNA", at positions 28 to 507 of the family's 1533-position model. The record is from RNAcentral.
GACGAACGCUGGCGGCGUGCUUAACACAUGCAAGUCGAACGGAAAGGCCCUGCUUUUGUGGGGUGCUCGAGUGGCGAACGGGUGAGUAACACGUGAGUAACCUGACCUUGACUUUGGGAUAACUUCAGGAAACUGGGGCUAAUACCGGAUAGGAGCUCCUGCUGCAUGGUGGGGGUUGGAAAGUUUCGGCGGUUGGGGAUGGACUCGCGGCUUAUCAGCUUGUUGGUGGGGUAGGGGCUUACCAAGGCUUUGACGGGUAGCCGGCCUGAGAGGGUGACCGGCCACAAUGGGACUGAGAUACGGCCCAGACUCCUACGGGAGGCAGCAGUGGGGAAUAUUGCACAAUGGGCGGAAGCCUGAUGCAGCAACGCCACGUGCGGGAUGACGGCCUUCGGGUUGUAAACCGCUUUCGCCUGUGACGAAGCGUGAGUGACGGUAAUGGGUAAAGAAGCACCGGCUAACUACGUG